UGGGAAAGCGAAAGUGGAUAGUUCCGGGGGAGGGGAGGAAUAGUCCCGAUCGUGAAGCAUAAUGACAGGAGCCAUAAAAAUGUCAACUUGGAUGUCUGUAGUGUCAGUGACGCUGUGGAUCCCUGUUGUCUCCUGUAUGUCUCUGUAGAAAUGGAAUAUUUGGUACAUCCAGCCCUUAUGUAGUCACGCUCCUGUUUAUUGUGCUCCUGACUUGUGGAUGAGGUGCUAGAAUGUGCCUGGCCCUGUGCUAUUCCAUGCAGAGUGUUUGCUAUUAUUUUAAUACAUUGCAUGGGUCACCAAUUGCUUCUCUGCUGCUGGAAAUUGGUAGGAUUGCCACUUGUCAUCUAAUGCCAUGUUAGCCAUGCCAGUGCACUUCCACACCUUAUGUCAUGUAACCAUUUAGUAACAGAAACCCCACGACUGGAUCAGUAUCAUCCUAAUGUCACAGUUGUUGCUCAUUUCGACUAAAGCCCUCAUAGAAGCCAAGCUCCCCUUUAUCUGAACAGAGUUUAACAACAUCUAGAAUAUGAAAUAAUUAUUCACCGCCACAGAUUCCAGGUGAAUCGUAGCCUCACUUUAACUUGCCUUCAUGCUGAGCGUUACCUGUCACUACUCCAGGCCUCACAAUUGGGAACCCUAAUAACAAGCGUUUAGUUGACAUUUCUCUGUCCAGUAAGAAUAAUACCUGAUGUUCUUAUGGAUCUGGAUUGUGAGCUCUGUUAGCCCACUCCUCUGAUGGGUGAAGCUGUUUUUCUGUGAUAGGUGUACUUGUACUUUUUCCAGAAAUCAAGGCAAUUCUUCCUAUGGAUUUCCAUAGGGCGAUUUCUCUUAAUAUACACUAUGCCAACCAUUGGAUAGCGUUGGUCACAGAUUUGUCAUUGGAUCUUUUCUUUUUGUUAAAUACAUGACCAAAUAUAAUAGUUUUUGUUUUAUUUGUUUAGCUAGUGUUUCUUCAUCUACUUUUAGGACUUGUUUAAAAAUCAGAUGAUGGUUUAGGUCACAUUCAUGUAAAAAUAUUGAUAUAUUGAAGGGUUCACAAAUUUUGAAGCACAACUGUAGCUGAGAUUAAAUGAAGCCUAAAAAAGUGGCCUAGCCAACCAGUUAUAAAUGUAUGUAUAUGUAUUUUGGUUAAAUACUACAAUUAAAAUUAUGGUGGCAGUGGUCUCAAUUUAAUAUUUUGCACAUCUGGACAUUCAAGAGACACUGGUUUACUUGAAAGCCAAAUAAAAAUAGUGGCUUGACAGUGAUGGGUGGGUUGAGCUAAUGUUAACUUUUUGAAAUAGAAAAAUUACAUUUUCUGUAACUGAAGUGUAGGCAGCAUUAAACCAUAGCAACCAGUAAAGUCAUUUGGAUUUUUCUACUACCCCACAUUUUCUGUACCUGGGCAACCCAUUUUCUUGUCAAAAAAGAAAAAUAUAUCUUCUUAAUUGCAGUACAGGUAUGGGAUUCAUUAUCCAGAAACCCGUUGUCCGGAAAGCUGCGAAUAAUGCUGGCAGUGGCCUACUGAGUUUAGAUUCCCAAAAGAUGCUGAAACUGGCAGAGCAGUGUCUUAAAAGGGCUCACACCACAGCAGAAAAGUUGGGUGAAUAUGAUUAUCUUCAGUGAGACUUUUAUUUACAUUUUAUAUUUUAUUAUUCAAUUAAAUAACUUAGAAAGCUUAAAAGUUGGAAACCUUGCCAUGCAUUGCAACAUAUUGUAUAGGAAAUGGCAUAUACAUGGGUCAUUGUAUUGUCAAGUGGUGACUCUUGCCUGAAAUUAUGUAUGGGUCGGGUCAGAUCCCUUGCAAACAGUCAUAUUGUACUUUGUGGCCUGAACACAUACGUUAAAAUGUUAAAUUUGUUGAAGUCCGUCUUAUCCUUUAUAAAACUGGAUUUAUCCGUGCCAAAAUUAAACUGCAUAUGGAUACUCUUGCUAGCACUCUGCAGUAUGUUUCAUUAGAGAUAACCAGUGAUUUGUACUGAACUGGAAUUUUAUACAUUCUGAUAAAUCAACUUUGCUCUUAACAAUUUGAACAUUAAACACAUUGCGCAAAGCUGGAAUAUAGUCUGUAAGAUCAUGAAGCUGCAGGGAAUGCUUUCAUUUGCAUGCCAGUGCUAUUCCCAAGUUGGAGAUCUGUGGUUAUCAAGUUUUUUUUAAAAAAAGAGAAACCAGUCUGUCUACAGGGCUUUUUAUUGUCACAAAACCAAGUAAACCCAGAGCUAGCGUAGCACAUUACCCACAAUUACACCCAGAGUUGUGUUUACUUUUGCUUGCAUUCACAGAUUUAAUCACCUCAAGUCCUGAAUGUCUACAUAGCCUGGUGAGUUGGACCCACAGAAAUGGAGGAGGCUGCUCCUUCCCACCUAUACUGAAGAGGGUGAAGAGGUCUUCAGAGAUUUUCAGAGCCAGGACGAAGAAGAAACCAGACAGCAGCCUUCCUCAGAAGUCUCCGUUGAACCAUGCAUAGACAAGAGGGAGGAACUGCCUACAAGUGUCCUUACCAAGGCUGCACAGCUGUAUACAGAGGUUCUACAUGAAGAAACACAUUAAGGAACAUCAUGAGGAGGUGCGGGAGCGACCAUGUCCACACCCUGGCUGCAACAAAGUAUUUAUGAUAGACCAGUACCUACAGAGGCAUGUCAAGAUCAUUCACACAGAGGAGAGAAACCACAUUUGUGAC
Xenopus laevis (African clawed frog) is the source of this 2659-nucleotide RNA transcript. It is a transcript of the gene named zinc finger protein 276-like, with no coding region annotated. The record is from RefSeq and is a predicted model, not a curated record. The transcript is spliced from 6 exons. Lineage: Eukaryota; Metazoa; Chordata; Amphibia; Anura; Pipidae.